CCUACGGGUGGCAGCAGUGGGGAAUAUUGGACAAUGGGCGAAAGCCUGAUCCAGCCAUGCCGCGUGUGUGAAGAAGGCCUUCGGGUUGUAAAGCACUUUCAGUGGGGAAGAAAGCCUUGGGGCUAAUACCCUCGAGGAAGGACAUCACCCACAGAAGAAGCACCGGCUAACUCCGUGCCAGCAGCCGCGGUAAUACGGAGGGUGCGAGCGUUAAUCGGAAUUACUGGGCGUAAAGCGCGCGUAGGCGGUCUGAUAAGCCGGUUGUGAAAGCCCCGGGCUCAACCUGGGAACGGCAUCCGGAACUGUCAGGCUAGAGUGCCGGAGAGGAAGGUAGAAUUCCCGGUGUAGCGGUGCAAUGCGUAGAGAUCGGGAGGAAUACCAGUGGCGAAGGCGGCCUUCUGGACUGACACUGACGCUGAGGUGCGAAAGCGUGGGUAGCAAACAGGAUUAGAUACCCCAGUAGUC
RNAcentral lists this ribosomal RNA (465 nucleotides) under Vreelandella stevensii. RNAcentral's name for it is "partial 16S ribosomal RNA". It matches the Rfam family "Bacterial small subunit ribosomal RNA", at positions 338 to 795 of the family's 1533-position model. Lineage: Bacteria; Pseudomonadati; Pseudomonadota; Gammaproteobacteria; Oceanospirillales; Halomonadaceae. The record is from RNAcentral.